Molecule: non-coding RNA, 93 nt
Organism: Trametes gibbosa
Lineage: Eukaryota; Fungi; Basidiomycota; Agaricomycetes; Polyporales; Polyporaceae
Source: the annotation of a GenBank genome assembly
GCCGCAUUGGCGUAGUGGUAUGCGCGUCCCACUUGUACUCAGCGUCUCGCUCAGGCAAUGGGGAGGUCACUCGUUCGACCCGGGUAUGUGGCA